GUCGUACGGGCUGGGGAAUGACAUCAGAAUCUUCCUAUCCCUGGGGAUCCUUCUUGUCCUCUCAGUUAUUGUGGGGGAAGACUUCAGAAGCAGACAGAGGAAGCACCAUGGGGAUGACACCAAUGGACAAUAAACCAGCCCAUCCUUCAACGAUGUCCUUUGAUCUGCAGUGCAGGUUUAACACCUCUUGUAAUACGACACCAACAGCUCACAAGUUACAAAGAAAUAUCCUGCGAGGAAAAGGAGAGAUCUACAAAAAGCACCACUUUGUGAAAGCAAAGUAAAAGUGUUGCUCUCUUGUGUUCUCUGAUAGCAUGUACAAGCUUAUUGUAAGGCUGCAUGACAUUUAGUUUCUGAGUUUCUGAAUUCAACAUUGCUGAUUGUAUAAAGUGUUACUGAACACCCUGCAGUGUUUACUAGAAACACAAUACUUUGCUUUUGCUGUAUCUAUUUUUCAUACCUUCUUCAAUUUAUUCAUGUUUUUUUCACACCUUAUGGAAAUACAUUUCUCAGGAGUGUUUAUCAGGAGAAGAUCAUUUCUCUUAAAAUCAUCACAGUGUAUCCAGAUCAGGCUCCCGCUUAUAACAAAGCUGGUGCUCUGAAUGAGUGAUGAGUUGUGGGAACAGGAAAUUAGCGUUGUGACAAGAGGGAGCAUGAACUUGAUACACUGCAGUUUGAUUCAUAAUUCACACAACAAUGUCAAUGAGAUUUGUUAUGAUUUCCAUCUUGCACACUGAACUUACAGCACAGAGCUGCAGAGUGCUGCUGACAUUACAGGGUUACUGUUAGCUUCAUUAGUCACACACACACACACUCUUUAUUAUGUAGAUGAAAAUGGCAUUUCUUUUGGAUAUGUUUAUUUUGUUGUGCAUAAUAAAUAUUUUGAUCUAA
Acipenser ruthenus (sterlet) is the source of this 891-nucleotide long non-coding RNA. RefSeq lists it as uncharacterized. The record is from RefSeq and is a predicted model, not a curated record. NCBI's taxonomy places the organism in Eukaryota, Metazoa, Chordata, Actinopteri, Acipenseriformes, Acipenseridae. The transcript is spliced from 2 exons.